RNAcentral lists this long non-coding RNA (204 nucleotides) under Helianthus annuus (common sunflower). RNAcentral's name for it is "hypothetical non coding rna". Lineage: Eukaryota; Viridiplantae; Streptophyta; Magnoliopsida; Asterales; Asteraceae. The record is from RNAcentral.
UCAAUGCCCCUAAAGAAAGACCUUGAAGAAGUCCCUGUGAUGAUGAUGAGAACAGUGAUGAGCCAAUAAGGGAACACAACACUAAGAGCAACACCAAGUGUGAUUCCAAGCAUGAGCAUAGGCUGAAACAAGAGUGCUAAAUCAUAAUCCAAUAUUGGUACUUCUCUGCAUGGAUGUGGUACUCUCAAAUUGUACCAAAAUGAU